UUUGGGGCCUUUCUAUGGGAUUUUGAAGUCGAUCCAUGGGGUUUUGGGUCCGUUCUGUGGGAUUUUGGGUCCAUUUUGUGGGAUUUUGAAAUCCAUAGGAUUUUGGGGCCAUUCUGUGGGAUUUUGGGGCCCAUUCUGUGGGAUUUUGGGGUCAUUCUAUGGGGUUUGGAGUCCAUUCUAUGGGACUUUGGGUUCCUUUUUUGCACUUUUGGGGCCAUUUCCGUGGGAUUCUGGGGCCAUUUCUGUGGGAUUUUGAGGACAAUCCAUAGGAUUUUGGGUCCAUUCUAUGGGAUUUCGGAUCCCUUCUAUGAAUUUUAGGGUCCAUUCUGUGGGAUUUUUGGGUCCAUUUUGGGGGAUUUUGGAGUCAAUCCAUGGGAUUUGGGGUCCAUUCCUUGGGAUUUUGAGGGCAAUCAUUGGGGUUUUGGGUCCGUUCUGUGGGAUUUGGGGCCAUUCUGUGGGAUUUUGACUCAUUUUUAUGCAUUUUUGGGACAUUCUGCAUCCAUUCUGGGGGAUUUUGGGGUCAAUCCAUGGGAUUUUGGGUUCGUUGUAUGGGAUUUUGGAGUCAAUCCAUGGGAUUUUGGGUCUGUUCUUUGGGAUUGGGAUUUUGGGGUCAAUCCAUGGAAAUUGGAUUUCGUUGUAUGGGAUUUUUGAGUCAGUCCAUGGGAUUUUGGGUCUAUUUCAUGGGAUUGGGAUUUUGGGUGCAUUUCUUUGGGAUUUUGGAGUCAAUCCAUGGGAUUUUGGAUUUGUUGAAUGGGAUUUUGGAGUCAAUCCAUGGGAUUUUGGAGUCAAACCAUGGGAUUUGGGGUCUAUUCUUUGGGAUUGCGAGUUUGGGUCCUUUCUUUGGGAUUUUGGGUCCAUUCUGUGGGAUUUUGGGGUUCGUUGUAUGGGAUUUUGGAGUCAAUCCAUGGGAUUUUGGCCUCAUCGUAUGGGAUUUUGGCUCCAUUCCUUGGGAUUUUGGAGUCAAUCCACGGGAGCUCGGGUCUAUUCCUUGGGAUUGGGACUUUGGCCCCACUCUCCAUGAUUUCCCCACAUUUCCCCCCCAUUCCACCCCAUUUCCUCACCUCCCCCCUGCUGUAGCCCCCAGCGUUUCCCAUUUUCAGCCCUUUUAACCCAUUUCUUCCCCCUUUCCCACCCCAGUUCUACCUGAGGGAGGCCGACGUGGGGCAGAACCGAGCCGAGGCGACGCUGCCCAGGCUGGCGGAGCUCAACGCCUACGUGGGGGUCAGCAGCAGCACGGAGCCCCUGAGCGAGGAGCUCCUGCAGCCCUUCCAGGUACCUGAACGGCCCCAUAGAAACCCCAUAACGGCCCCAUAGGGACCCCAUAGUGUGAGCCACAGUGUGACCCCAUAACUGCCCCAUAGAGACCCUAUAAAGACCCCAUAGAGACCCCAUAGCAGCACGGAGCCCCCGAGCGAGGAGCUCCUGCAGCCCUUCCAGGUACCAUAGAGACCCCAUAGAAACCCCAUAACGGCCCCAUAGGGACCCCAUAGUGUCACCCCACAGUGUGACCCCAUAACUGCCCCAUAGAGACCCUAUAGAGACCCCAUAG
Molecule: long non-coding RNA, 1549 nt
Organism: Phasianus colchicus (ring-necked pheasant)
Lineage: Eukaryota; Metazoa; Chordata; Aves; Galliformes; Phasianidae
Source: Ensembl